RNAcentral lists this ribosomal RNA (392 nucleotides) under uncultured Gammaproteobacteria bacterium. RNAcentral describes it as "bacterial SSU rRNA". It matches the Rfam family "Bacterial small subunit ribosomal RNA", at positions 370 to 779 of the family's 1533-position model. The record is from RNAcentral. Lineage: Bacteria; Pseudomonadati; Pseudomonadota; Gammaproteobacteria.
AAUGGAGGAAACUCUGAUGCAGCGAUGCCGCGUGAGUGAAGAAGGCCCUUGGGUUGUAAGGCUCUUUCGUCGGGGAAGAAAAUGACUGUACCCGAAUAAGAAGGUCCGGCUAACUUCGUGCCAGCAGCCGCGGUAAUACGAAGGGACCUAGCGUAGUUCGGAAUUACUGGGCUUAAAGAGUUCGUAGGUGGUUGAAAAAGUUGGUGGUGAAAUCCCAGAGCUUAACUCCGGAACUGCCAUCAAAACUUUUCAGCUAGAGUUUGAUAGAGGAAAGCAGAAUUUCUAGUGUAGAGGUGAAAUUCGUAGAUAUUAGAAAGAAUACCAAUUGCGAAGGCAGCUUUCUGGAUCAAUACUGACACUGAGGAACGAAAGCAUGGGUAGCGAAGAGGAUU